RNAcentral lists this ribosomal RNA (383 nucleotides) under uncultured bacterium. Its description in RNAcentral is "bacterial SSU rRNA". It matches the Rfam family "Bacterial small subunit ribosomal RNA", at positions 28 to 412 of the family's 1533-position model. The record is from RNAcentral.
GACGAACGCUGGCGGCGUGCUUAACACAUGCAAGUCGAGCGGUAAGGCCCUUUCGGGGGUACACGAGCGGCGAACGGGUGAGUAACACGUGGGUGACCUGCCCUCAGCUCUGGGAUAAGCCCGGGAAACUGGGUCUAAUACCGGAUAUGACUCCAUGACGCAUGUUGUGGGGUGGAAAGCCUUGUGCGGCUGAGGAUGGGCCCGCGGCCUAUCAGCUUGUUGGUGGGGUGAUGGCCACCAAGGCGACGACGGGUAGCCGGCCUGAGAGGGCGACCGGCCACACUGGGACUGAGAUACGGCCCAGACUCCUACGGGAGGCAGCAGUGGGGAAUCUUGCGCAAUGGGGCGAAAGCCUGACGCAGCGACGCCGCGUGAGGGAUGAC